Macrobrachium nipponense is the source of this 2513-nucleotide long non-coding RNA. RefSeq lists it as uncharacterized. The transcript is spliced from 2 exons. The record is from RefSeq and is a predicted model, not a curated record. NCBI's taxonomy places the organism in Eukaryota, Metazoa, Arthropoda, Malacostraca, Decapoda, Palaemonidae.
AUUAAAACAACCAGGAAUUUAUGGAUAUUUCCCAUAGAAAAAUACCUUGUGAAAUAGGCGAAUUUUCCAGAAUAAUGGGGUAUAUGUUCCAGAGAGAAAUCCGCGAAUCUGAAGUUUGUGAAUACAGGUGUUCACUGUAUAUUUCAUAAUGAAACAAUAAGAGGAGGAUAAUACAUGCAUGCAAAAUAUAAUUGGGUACAGUAAAUAAACCAACAAUUUUAUUACAAUUAUCAUUAUUUUUAAAUAUGUGUAAUAUUUUACAAAUGCAAAUGUCUAUACAGUACACUGUUGGUAUUGUCAGUGUAACAGCCUAACCGGGUAGAAAAAAAAAAAGUCUGGCUGCAUCAUACCCAAAUUAAUCAAGGUGACUUAGAUCGGGUUUGGGCGUGCUAAACACACUUAUGACUGAUGCUCUACCCUCAACAGAAAAAAAUUUUGCUUUUGAGUUUUGGAUGAAGGAUUGUAAACCUGUACACAAAAUUUUGUCUUGAAUAUGCUUUGCUAAAAUGGGUGCUCAACUUGUAUGCUGUCAAAUAUGGUAUGCUUAUUUUUUCUUAUGAACAUUUGAUACCUGCCUGGGGCACUGUCAGAAAUGCUUUGUUUAUUAUGAAAUAGAACUUCAAGUGAAAACAAUCAUGAGUUUAUAGUCAGUAGAGCGUGAGAUGAGGAAAUUCAAUUUUGGUUUUUUAUUUGUUGAUGGACCAAAAUUAAGUUUGCUGAAUAACUUUUAAAGUUAAGGAAAUAAUGUCGAAUCACAUUUAGCUUGGAUUUUUAGAUGAAUCUCAAUAGCUAGUCAAUUUUAUCAGUCUUUUAAUAUAUAGUGACCAAAAAAAUGUAGGUUUUGGAAAUAUGUAUACCAUUUUUACAAAACAUAUGACAAGAUUAUGUAUAGCAGUUGCUGUUUGCUUUAUGUGUGAGUAAAAUGAAGAACUGUUGUUUCCUAGGCUGAAAAAUACUUCUUACAGACAUGACCCAUUUGGUUGUUCUUUACAAUCCACUGUCAUUUGUCAUUUCAUGUUCGUCCUUUUAUAUUCUUUCCUAAUACCCACUACUGUUACUUUAAGGCCUGGUGUUGUACCCAUAUAAAAGGAAUAUUUUUCUGAAAGGUAUUAAAGUAGUUGAUAGAUAAUGAUUUGCCAGUUCCUGCAAGCAUUUUUACUUUCUUUUAGUCUUAUUCACUCUUGAUUUCGUAAUUCAUACAUCCAAAUAUUUUUAUGCUCAAGAGUGCCACAUCUUAGUACUGCUAUAGCUUUACAUCCCACAAGGAUCACACAAAGGUUCUGAAGAACUUGGUUACACAUUUAAUAAAUUUAGUGAUUGACAAUAAUAAAACAAUAUAGUACCUACCUACCUUUGCCUUAAAUAUAUCUAUGAAAUUAGUAAAAUGAAAUGACUUACAUAUACUGCAUUUGUAUCUGUGGUAAUUGUUGGUUUUAUUGAUAGGUGUGUACUUUCUUUACAAAGCAUAGAAGUUAAAUGUUUUAGACAGGUUAUUAGAAAAAUAUGUCCAAUAGAAACUAUGAAAGCAAUCUCAUUCAGUAGAAAGUAAUACAGUAGCUACAUUAAUCAAAUAUAAAUGGUCAUAGUUAUUUUUAUAUUCAGCAGAAUUUUUAAUACAUUUAUAUGAUUAUUGCAAAACUCCUGGUGACAAAAAUAAUUUGAGAAAUAUUACAGUAGAGCUCUGGAGGGAUGACACAAUUUCUUACAGUAAUACUAGUUAUUGGCAAUUUUCAGAUAUUUGUGUAAUAAUACUUAUGGGAAACUUGAAACUUACAUGUUAGUGUCAAAAUCUAAGGGUUACACGUAUUAGUAUAAAAGAUGGUAUGCAGUAUAUUUUUCAUAAAUGAUAUGAGCUGAUACAGUAUAGCUAGAAUUUUUUUACGAUGAAUAUGUGAUCGUUAUAAUUAAUAGGAUUUUAAGCAUUGUAAUCUAAGUACAUUAUUUUUAGUAUGUAUUUUGCAAACAUUUUCAAGGUAAUUUGGGAAUUAUUCUAUCUUAGCAUGUUCAUAUAGUUCAGUACAUAUUUGUAAAUAAUCAAGAACAGCAUACAAAGAACUCAUUGGUGUAAUAGCAGGCAAUGACUCUGCUUACUUGCAUGGCUGCAUGAUUUGAUAAGUAACUCAAACUUCAGGUGCUUAAAAUUAUUAGACCAUGCUAUAGUUAGUCAAAAAAACCUGAUUGAAGUUUAGGUUUAGGCAAGAGAUUUCUGCUUAGGCAGUUUGCAGCAUUUAUCAUAAGUUGAUAUAUAAUGCCUUUAAAUGAAGGUCUCAGGAAGAGGACGCUCAAGUACGUAUUAGGAGUUGGAUAUGUGCAAAAUAAAAUUUUUGCACAUAGUAUAUACAUAUGGCUUUCGUCACUGUGGACUCUUAACUGAUUUGAGUAGAUAUUUGAAAAAUUUUGGUUACCUAUAACAUUGGGUUUUAAUCAAGUUAGCAGAUAUGAACAAUGAUUCCAAAAGUUUUCACCAUUUAGUAUAGGAUUACAUAAUUAGUAGUCGUGAAAUACCAUGUGAU